This 251-nucleotide long non-coding RNA is filed under the name Ananas comosus (pineapple). Its description in RNAcentral is "long non-coding RNA (ACOM_LNC043477)". The record is from RNAcentral. Lineage: Eukaryota; Viridiplantae; Streptophyta; Magnoliopsida; Poales; Bromeliaceae.
AACAGGAACAAUACUCAACAACGAUUGUAUAAGGAAGGUAUCAAACAACAUAACACAUCCUAUGUUAUUACAAGCAUUCCGAUUAGAUUCAUUUUCUUACAUCACACUUGCAUAUUACAUUUUACAUUACAAAUUACAUUCUUUUACAUUCAUACAUCCAAAUACAAUCAAGUUCUUUCAAUUAUUGCAUUCUUGGUUCUUUUCAUUUUUAUACCCCUAAGUAGCCGACUCGGGAUACUGCUAUCUGGUCU